GACGAACGCUGGCGGCGUGCUUAACACAUGCAAGUCGAACGGAAAGGCCCUGCUUUUGUGGGGUGCUCGAGUGGCGAACGGGUGAGUAACACGUGAGUAACCUGCCCUUGACUUUGGGAUAACUUCAGGAAACUGGGGCUAAUACCGGAUAGGAGCUCCUGCUGCAUGGUGGGGGUUGGAAAGUUUCGGCGGUUGGGGAUGGACUCGCGGCUUAUCAGCUUGUUGGUGGGGUAGUGGCUUACCAAGGCUUUGACGGGUAGCCGGCCUGAGAGGGUGACCGGCAAAAUUGGGACUGAGAUACGGCCCAGAAUCCUACGGGAGGCAGCAGUGGGGAAUAUUGCACAAUGGGCGGAAGCCUGAUGCAGCAACGCCGCGUGCGGGAUGACGGCCUUCGGGUUGUAAACCGCUUUCGCCUGUGACGAAGCGUGAGUGACGGUAAUGGGUAAAGAAGCACCGGCUAACUACGUG
This 468-nucleotide ribosomal RNA is filed under the name uncultured bacterium. RNAcentral describes it as "partial 16S ribosomal RNA". It matches the Rfam family "Bacterial small subunit ribosomal RNA", at positions 28 to 507 of the family's 1533-position model. The record is from RNAcentral.